Molecule: ribosomal RNA, 622 nt
Filed under: Helicobasidium longisporum II
Lineage: Eukaryota; Fungi; Basidiomycota; Pucciniomycetes; Helicobasidiales; Helicobasidiaceae
Also listed under: 1 other name
Description: LSU rRNA
Rfam family: Eukaryotic large subunit ribosomal RNA
Source: RNAcentral
AAUAAGCGGAGGAAAAGAAACUAACAAGGAUUCCCCCAGUAACGGCGAGUGAAGAGGGAACAGCCCAAAUUUGUAAUCUGGCCCUUUUGGGGUCCGAGUUGUAAUCUCGAGAACUGUUUUCCGUGCCGGACCAUGUACAAGUCUGUUGGAAUAUAGCUUCAUAGAGGGUGAGAAUCCCGUACAUGACAUGGACCACCGGUGCUUUGUGAUACAGUCUCUAAGAGUCGAGUUGUUUGGGAAUGCAGCUCAAAUUGGGUGGUAAAUUCCAUCUAAGGCUAAAUAUUGGCGAGAGACCGAUAGCGAACAAGUACCGUGAGGGAAAGAUGAAAAGCACUUUGGAAAGAGAGUUAACAGUACGUGAAAUUGUUGAAAGGGAAACGCUUGAAGUCAGCCUUGUUCUUGGUUGUUCAGCCUUAGGGUGUAUUCAACUUUGAGCAGGCCAGCAUCAGUUUUGGGUGCCGGAUAAGGGCUUAGGAAAUGUGGCAGCUUAGGCUGUGUUAUAGUCCUUUGCUUGAUACGGUGCCUGGGACUGAGGAACGCAGCGAGCCUUUUGGCGGGUCCCCUCGGGGGCCUUCUCGCUUUGGAUGCUGGCGUAAUGGCUUUAAACGACCCGUCUUGAAAC